UCGUAACAAGGUUUCUGUAGGUGAACCUGCAGAAGGAUCAUUAGUGAAAGUUUCGGGCCUGCCAUACGGACGCAAACACGUCUCUGGCGCCCAUCACUAUAUCCAUACCAACCCCUGUGCACUGUGAUGACGAAUGUCAUCGAACAAAAAAAAACUCGUAUGGUUGAAUGUACGUGAAAUUGUAGGUAUAGCCUACGAACUAUACACAACUUUCGACAACGGAUCUCUUGGUUCUCCCAUCGAUGAAGAACGCAGCGAAACGCGAUAGGUAAUGUGAAUUGCAGAAUUCCGUGAAUCAUCGAAUCUUUGAACGCACCUUGCGCUCCAUGGUAUUCCGUGGAGCAUGCCUGUUUGAGUGCCGCGAAUUCUCCCUCCCCUUACGGUGGCCGAAAGGCCGAAGUAGGGCGGACGGGGUAGGAUGGGUGUUUGCUGCCUGGGGAUUGUACCAGGCUCGCCCGAAAUGCAUAAGCGCCAGGACCCUCGCUACCGCUCUCUAGGGAAGAGUGGCUAAGCGACCGCUGAGCAUGGCAUGAUACGUCAUUUGCUGUGUGUGGGCGGCCGGUUGGAGAGGUGUCUGCUUUACCAGCCCUAUUUUAAUUCUGGUCUCAAAUCAGGUAGGAUCACCCGCUGAACCUAAGCA
This 640-nucleotide unclassified non-coding RNA is filed under the name Malassezia sympodialis. RNAcentral's name for it is "sequence contains 18S rRNA gene, ITS1, 5.8S rRNA gene, ITS2, 28S rRNA gene". The stretch from base 208 to 361 matches the Rfam family "5.8S ribosomal RNA". Lineage: Eukaryota; Fungi; Basidiomycota; Malasseziomycetes; Malasseziales; Malasseziaceae. The record is from RNAcentral.